Molecule: long non-coding RNA, 1085 nt
Organism: Syngnathus acus (greater pipefish)
Lineage: Eukaryota; Metazoa; Chordata; Actinopteri; Syngnathiformes; Syngnathidae
Exons: 2
Source: RefSeq, a predicted model, not a curated record
CUCGUCUUCUCCGAAUCCCAGGAUGUGUCCGACCAGCGUGGAGCCGCAGGAGCUGGCUGAGCCCAGACAAAGCGGUUUCUCCUGCCACUGGUCGCUUGCUGCCGACGGCGUUAUCGACGACUUCUGGAGAAUCCGCAGACCCGCAUGAUGCCACUAGAGACCGUCGUUGCGUCACCAGGAAGGUUUUGCUCAAUCACAAGAUUCACAACACAUCCGCAAAUUGGAACGGAAUUUCAGCCACCGCGCAUGGUUCCAAACCCAAUCCCAAAGAUCCUGCAAUGAAGGGAAAUUUCUCACCGUGAUUGACUUCCUCUUUGCCUCUUGGAGCGUCAGUCUUUGACAUCAGCAAAUGAGGAUGAAUUACAAACCAAAGAAAAGUGUGAACAGCGCAAGGCAGGAUGUCCCGUCUCCAUUUACACCCAACUGGCCAGGCCACUGUGGCAAGAGUAACACAAUACCGACGUCCCCCACCGGCCCCACCCCCACAUCGCUGGAACUUUGUAUUCACCGCAUGAUGCAAGGGACAGAUUGACGAGGGUGAGAAUGGAGAGUGGUGACGUCUGCAAAUCUAACAUUCUCAAAAACUAUAAUGGUUGCCUCCUACAGGAACACAAAUGCUGGUGACACAAAACACACCAUUUGAACUCUGUAGCCAACCAAAACAGCAGCACCCUUCCUCUAAAAGAUGGUCCCCAAUCUGAAACAUGCUACAAUUUGGAGGCAAUAUGGUUUGUGCCUUACCCGAGCUUAUCUCCAAACACGUAGCUGCCGUACAAUCGUCUGGACUGGCAACCCCUGUAGAUGAAACCGCCCACUGGCGGCGCUCCUCCGAUGGACUGCAGGUCAUAGACGGAAGGUUCGUUCUCUGCGCAGUAUGAAGGAGAGGAGCAAAUAUUAGAAAAACAAAAUCAUUCUUUGAGAAGAAAAAAAAAACGUAAAUUAGCUUUUUUAAGAAAAAAAUGUAUUUUAAAAGAACUUUUUACUUUUUGUGCGGAAAAGGGCGUUGAGGAACUAAUUUUAUAAUUAAAGUAUAGUUUGUGAGAAUGAUGAAGCCAAACGACAACAAUAAAGCGAUGACCAUGAAA